Molecule: ribosomal RNA, 725 nt
Filed under: Helicotylenchus sp. N14_1
Lineage: Eukaryota; Metazoa; Nematoda; Chromadorea; Rhabditida; Hoplolaimidae
Description: partial large subunit ribosomal RNA
Rfam family: Eukaryotic large subunit ribosomal RNA
Source: RNAcentral
AGAGAGAGUUAAGAGGACGUGAAACCGAUGAGGGGGAAACGGACAGAGCUGGCGUAUCUGGCUUGCAUUCAGCCGUUGCGCGUCGGGCCCCGGUUUGCCGCACUCCAGAUUGGGAAGGUGGCUGGGCCGCUGGCGUGUCAGUGGUGCAUUUGCAGGUGGAGUGCGCCGAGGCGCUCGGUUCAGCGGCAUGAGCUCAGCCUUGAGGCCAACCGUGCAAGCGGUCUGGUACCCGGGCUGGGGGAGUGUUGUUUGGUCUGCGUGUUCGCUUGGGCAAUGCUUUCGGGCCCGGGUGGGUGCCGAGCUGGCGGUCGGCGGCGGUCGCGUGCGACACGUGCCAGCAGUCAGUUCGGUCCUGCUCGAGCUCUCAUCUGUCCGGCCUCGGUGUAAAAGCCGGUCAUCUGUCCGACCCGUCUUGAAACACGGACCAAGGAGUUUAGCGUGUGCGCGAGUCAUUGGGCGUUGAAAACCCAAAGGCGCAAUGAAAGUGAAGGUCUGCCUUGUGCAGCUGAUGUGUGAUCCUGGGCGCUGCGGUGCCCGGGCGCAACAUAGUCCCGUCCCGACUGCAUGCAGUUGCUGCGGAGACAGAGCGUACGCGCUGAGACCCGAAAGAUGGUGAACUAUUCCUGAGCAGGAUGAAGCCAGAGGAAACUCUGGUGGAAGUCCGAAGCGAUUCUGACGUGCAAAUCGAUCGUCUGACUUGGGUAUAGGGGCGAAAGACUAAUCGA